AAGUCGUAACAAGGUUUCCGUAGGUGAACCUGCGGAAGGAUCAUUAACACGUAUCCACGUAUCAACCCCUUUGUGCUUUUUUACGUUUUGACGUACCCUGUCUUGAAGGUGAACCCUGAGGUCUUGUGAGAACGCUGAAUGGUGUCGGGGGUCGCCCUUUUGUGCUUCGGCGCGAGGGGGGGAUGUCUGACUUGUUUUCACGGGACUGUUGCAACCCUUUAUUGGGCGGCAUCGGGCUCCUUUCUACCGUACAGGUCUUUUUAGAUGCUUGCCAUUCAACAUCGACCUUUUACACUAUAAACCCUUUGAAAACAUCUUGCUAAUUAUAAUUUUGGAUGGUGUAGUGGUUCGAUUCACUUCGAACUUGCUUAUCUAUGCAAAUAUUACGAAAUGCUUGACAACUCUUAGCAACGGAUAUCUUGGUUCUC
RNAcentral lists this unclassified non-coding RNA (428 nucleotides) under fungal sp. RNAcentral describes it as "partial internal transcribed spacer region". The stretch from base 1 to 46 matches the Rfam family "Eukaryotic small subunit ribosomal RNA", at positions 1786 to 1831 of the family's 1831-position model. The record is from RNAcentral. Lineage: Eukaryota; Fungi.